This 357-nucleotide long non-coding RNA is filed under the name Gossypium barbadense (sea-island cotton). Its description in RNAcentral is "long non-coding RNA (GBAR_LNC009355)". Lineage: Eukaryota; Viridiplantae; Streptophyta; Magnoliopsida; Malvales; Malvaceae. The record is from RNAcentral.
CUCGAAGGAGGAUAAGGAGAGAAGAGAUGCUAUAGACACAAAGAACCAGGCUGAUUCUGUUGUCUACCAGACUGAGAAGCAGCUGAAAGAGCUCGGAGACAAGGUUCCCGGUCCAGUGAAAGAGAAAGUAGAGGCAAAAUUGCAGGAGCUUAGGGAUGCAAUUUCAGGGGGCUCAACACAAGGUAUGAAGGAUGCCAUGGCUGCCCUCAACCAAGAAGUGAUGCAGCUUGGCCAGUCACUCUACAACCAACCCGGUGCAGCAGGAGGUCCUGGUGGACCUGCACCUGGUAGUGAAACUGGACCUUCAGAUUCAUCAAACAAGGGGCCUGAUGGGGACGUAAUUGAUGCAGAUUUCGC